Molecule: ribosomal RNA, 253 nt
Filed under: uncultured bacterium
Lineage: Bacteria
Description: partial 16S ribosomal RNA
Rfam family: Bacterial small subunit ribosomal RNA
Source: RNAcentral
UACAGAGGGGGCAAGCGUUGUUCGGAAUUACUGGGCGUAAAGGGCGCGUAGGCGGCUUUGCAAGUGACGGGUGAAAUCCCUCGGCUUAACCGAGGAACUGCCUGUCAGACUGCAUGGCUUGAGACCAGGAGAGGUGAGUGGAAUUCCCAGUGUAGCGGUGAAAUGCGUAGAUAUUGGGAGGAACACCAGUGGCGAAGGCGGCUCACUGGACUGGUACUGACGCUGAGGCGCGAAAGCGUGGGGAGCAAACAGG